Molecule: long non-coding RNA, 564 nt
Organism: Hyaena hyaena (striped hyena)
Lineage: Eukaryota; Metazoa; Chordata; Mammalia; Carnivora; Hyaenidae
Exons: 4
Source: RefSeq, a predicted model, not a curated record
GCACAUGGUGUUGAUUACAAGUGACAGAAGCAUUGAGAAGACUGGAGAGCCACCCCCACUGAUGGCAACCGCUGGACACAAGGGGCAGUUUGUUUAAGUUCUAUUCCCAUGAUGUCAUUUGGUAGCCACUGCUGCUGCCUUCAUGGAAUCUGCUGCUGCCCCAGGAUCCACCACACCACUGCUUCCAUCUGAAGGAGAGAAGUUCAGGUGCAGGGUCCCCACAAGGAAAGACAAAAUGUCAUCUAUGACUAAAAAGAACAGACCUCACAGACGUGGAACUUUCCGUCUAGCAGGAAGAGUAAAUAGAUAAAUAAUUGCACAAAUUAUUAACGAAAUAAAAAUAUUAAAAAAAAAAAAAGGGAACACUUUGAAAACCUGUCACCUGGGAACUUGGACAAAGGGGACUUGGACAAAUGGGACUUGAAGCAGAGGAGGUAGCCUUAGAACAUGCCCUGGAUGCUGAGCUGCAGCCACUGGGGGAAAAGGCAGAAAGGAACAUUCUGGGCAGAGGAAGCAGCAUAUGUCAUAGAGAAGAUCAGGACACAGACACACAGAGGGAAGACG